RNAcentral lists this ribosomal RNA (253 nucleotides) under uncultured bacterium. RNAcentral's name for it is "partial 16S ribosomal RNA". It matches the Rfam family "Bacterial small subunit ribosomal RNA", at positions 524 to 776 of the family's 1533-position model. The record is from RNAcentral. RNAcentral also lists the same sequence under 1 other name.
GACGAAGGGGGCUAGCGUUGUUCGGAAUUACUGGGCGUAAAGCGCGUGUAGGCGGUUGCCCAAGUCGGGUGUGAAAGCCUUGAGCUCAACUCAAGAAAUGCACUCGGUACUGGGUGACUAGAGGACCGGAGAGGAUAGUGGAAUUCCCAGUGUAGUGGUGAAAUACGUAGAGAUUGGGAAGAACACCAGUGGCGAAGGCGGCUAUCUGGACGGUUUCUGACGCUAAGACGCGAAAGCGUGGGGAGCAAACAGG